RNAcentral lists this ribosomal RNA (505 nucleotides) under Lactobacillus helveticus. RNAcentral describes it as "bacterial SSU rRNA". It matches the Rfam family "Bacterial small subunit ribosomal RNA", at positions 32 to 503 of the family's 1533-position model. Lineage: Bacteria; Bacillati; Bacillota; Bacilli; Lactobacillales; Lactobacillaceae. The record is from RNAcentral.
AACGCUGGCGGCGUGCCUAAUACAUGCAAGUCGAGCGAGCAGAACCAGCAGAUUUACUUCGGUAAUGACGCUGGGGACGCGAGCGGCGGAUGGGUGAGUAACACGUGGGGAACCUGCCCCAUAGUCUGGGAUACCACUUGGAAACAGGUGCUAAUACCGGAUAAGAAAGCAGAUCGCAUGAUCAGCUUAUAAAAGGCGGCGUAAGCUGUCGCUAUGGGAUGGCCCCGCGGUGCAUUAGCUAGUUGGUAAGGUAACGGCUUACCAAGGCAAUGAUGCAUAGCCGAGUUGAGAGACUGAUCGGCCACAUUGGGACUGAGACACGGCCCAAACUCCUACGGGAGGCAGCAGUAGGGAAUCUUCCACAAUGGACGCAAGUCUGAUGGAGCAACGCCGCGUGAGUGAAGAAGGUUUUCGGAUCGUAAAGCUCUGUUGGUGUUGAAGAAGGAUAAAGGUAGUAACUGGCCCUUUAUUUGCCGGUAAUCAACCAGAAAGUCACGGCUAACUA